CAAGUCGAGCGAACAGAUGAAGUGCUUGCACUUCUGACGUUAGCGGCGAACGGGUGAGUAACACGUAAGGAAUCUACCUAUAAGCGGGGGAUAACAUUCGGAAACGGGUGCUAAUACCGCAUAAUAUCUUCUUCCGCAUGGAAGAAGAUUGAAAGACGGCUCUGCUGUCACUUAUAGAUGACCUUGCGGUGCAUUAGUUAGUUGGUGGGGUAAUGGCCUACCAAGACGAUGAUGCAUAGCCGACCUGAGAGGGUGAUCGGCCACAUUGGGGCUGAGACACGGCCCAAACUCCUACGGGAGGCAGCAGUAGGGAAUCUUCCGCAAUGGGCGAAAGCCUGACGGAGCAAUGCCGCGUGAGUGAAGAAGGCCUUCGGGUCGUAAAACUCUGUUAUAAGAGAAGAACAAAUUGUAGAGUAACUGCUACAGUCUUGACGGUAUCUUAUCAGAAAGCCACGGCUAACUACGUGCCAGCAGCCGCGGUAAUACGUAGGUGGCAAGCGUUGUCCGGAUUUAUUGGGCGUAAAGGGAGCGCAGGUGGUUUCUUAAGUCUGAUGUGAAAGCCCACGGCUUAACCGUGGAGGGUCAUUGGAAACUGGGAAACUUGAGUACAGAAGAGGAAUGUGGAACUCCAUGUGUAGCGGUGGAAUGCGUAGAUAUAUGGAAGAACACCAGUGGCGAAGGCGACAUUCUGGUCUGUUACUGACACUGAGGCUCGAAGGCGUGGGGAGCAAACAGGAUUAGAUACCCUGGUAGUCCACGCCGUAAACGAUGAGUGCUAGGUGUUGGAGGGUUUCCGCCCUUCAGUGCCGCAGUUAACGCAUUAAGCACUCCGCCUGGGGAGUACGACCGCAAGGUUGAAACUCAAGGAAUUGACGG
Molecule: ribosomal RNA, 876 nt
Filed under: uncultured bacterium
Lineage: Bacteria
Description: bacterial SSU rRNA
Rfam family: Bacterial small subunit ribosomal RNA
Source: RNAcentral